RNAcentral lists this ribosomal RNA (247 nucleotides) under uncultured bacterium. Its description in RNAcentral is "partial small subunit ribosomal RNA". It matches the Rfam family "Bacterial small subunit ribosomal RNA", at positions 26 to 278 of the family's 1533-position model. The record is from RNAcentral.
AGGACGAACGCUGGCGGCGUGCUUAACACAUGCAAGUCGAGCGGAAAGGCCCUUCGGGGUACUCGAGCGGCGAACGGGUGAGUAACACGUGAGCAAUCUGCCCUUAGCUUCGGGAUAGCUCCGGGAAACCGGAAUUAAUACCGGAUAUGACUAUGGCUGACAUCAGCCACGGUGGAAAGUUUUUCGGCUAGGGAUGAGCUCGCGGCCUAUCAGCUAGUUGGUGGGGUAACGGCCUACCAAGGCGACG